Molecule: ribosomal RNA, 773 nt
Filed under: Streptomycetaceae bacterium
Lineage: Bacteria; Bacillati; Actinomycetota; Actinomycetes; Kitasatosporales; Streptomycetaceae
Description: bacterial SSU rRNA
Rfam family: Bacterial small subunit ribosomal RNA
Source: RNAcentral
CAGGACGAACGCUGGCGGCGUGCUUAACACAUGCAAGUCGAACGAUGAAGCCCUUCGGGGUGGAUUAGUGGCGAACGGGUGAGUAACACGUGGGCAAUCUGCCCUUCACUCUGGGACAAGCCCUGGAAACGGGGUCUAAUACCGGAUAAUACUCCUGCCUGCAUGGGUGGGGGUUGAAAGCUCCGGCGGUGAAGGAUGAGCCCGCGGCCUAUCAGCUUGUUGGUGGGGUAAUGGCCCACCAAGGCGACGACGGGUAGCCGGCCUGAGAGGGCGACCGGCCACACUGGGACUGAGACACGGCCCAGACUCCUACGGGAGGCAGCAGUGGGGAAUAUUGCACAAUGGGCGAAAGCCUGAUGCAGCGACGCCGCGUGAGGGAUGACGGCCUUCGGGUUGUAAACCUCUUUCAGCAGGGAAGAAGCGAAAGUGACGGUACCUGCAGAAGAAGCGCCGGCUAACUACGUGCCAGCAGCCGCGGUAAUACGUAGGGCGCAAGCGUUGUCCGGAAUUAUUGGGCGUAAAGAGCUCGUAGGCGGCUUGUCACGUCGGAUGUGAAAGCCCGAGGCUUAACCUCGGGUCUGCAUUCGAUACGGGCUAGCUAGAGUGUGGUAGGGGAGAUCGGAAUUCCUGGUGUAGCGGUGAAAUGCGCAGAUAUCAGGAGGAACACCGGUGGCGAAGGCGGAUCUCUGGGCCAUUACUGACGCUGAGGAGCGAAAGCGUGGGGAGCGAACAGGAUUAGAUACCCUGGUAGUCCACGCCGUAAACGUUGGGAA